AUGCGCGGGGCUGGGCAUCACUGCCCUAACCAGGAAAGCAGAAAUCAAAGCAACCAUCUUACCAGCAAGGAUCCACUAUCAUCUGUGCCAGUACAAUGCCUUUGUGUGAGAUUUGGAAGGCAGAAGUCAAAUGAAGGCAUCCUUGCUCCAGCAGGAGCAGUAGCCGACGACAGACCACUCACAGGUAAAUAUGAGCCUUUGCUGGGGCCAGGAGACUGGGCCUUCCCCGCCAGCCACUCACCCCAGGACGCUGUUUCUUGAUCUCAGGGUGGUAGUAGCAACUUCCUGAUGCUCACAGCUUCGCAGCUACACAGGCAAACUGGAAAGCAGCGGUGCUUCUCUCGCCUUCUGUUCUCCCAAUCUCUCCUGUGGGUUUUAACUACCUAAUUCCCAGUAUUAACUGCCCAUUUGCUUUAAAUAUUGGUUUCUGUUUUCUGACUGAGGCCCAGGUGAAACAGAUAGGUGCUAGAAAUCCCUAUUUGAUUUUUGCAGAAACCAAGACUCAAAGUGGUCAACAGUAGUGGCAAAUCUGUAACUCAAUCCAAGCUUCCUGAUGACAAAUUUACUUUUAUUUUUUUAACCACAGCUAUAUGUACAUUAAAUAAUUGUUGGGUUUUUUGUUUAUACAAAGUCACACUUGUAUAUCUGAAUUAUGAUAAAAGUCCUCAAAGUCUUCUCAAU
This 681-nucleotide long non-coding RNA is filed under the name Macaca mulatta (Rhesus monkey). Its description in RNAcentral is "lncRNA (ENSMMUG00000059162.1)". The record is from RNAcentral. Lineage: Eukaryota; Metazoa; Chordata; Mammalia; Primates; Cercopithecidae.